UAGGAAUAUUCGUCAAUGGGGGAAACCCUGAACGAGCAAUGCCGCGUGAAGGAUGACGGUCCUUUGGAUUGUAAACUUCUGUUGUUAGGGAAGAACAAACUGUAUAGGAAAUGAUACAGUUCUGACGGUACCUUUCAAGAAAGCUCCGGCUAACUACGUGCCAGCAGCCGCGGUAAUACGUAGGGAGCAAGCGUUAUCCGGAUUUAUUGGGUGUAAAGGGAGCGUAGGCGGACGCUUAAGUCAGUUGUGAAAGUUUGCGGCUCAACCGUAAAAUUGCAGUUGAUACUGGGUGUCUUGAGUACAGUAGAGGCAGGCGGAAUUCGUGGUGUAGCGGUGAAAUGCUUAGAUAUCACGAAGAACUCCGAUUGCGAAGGCAGCCUGCUGGACUGUAACUGACGCUGAUGCUCGAAAGUGUGGGUAUCAAACAGGAUUAGAUACCCUGGUAGUCCACACAGUAAACGAUGAAUACUCGCUGUUUGCGAUAUACAGUAAGCGGCCAAGCGAAAGCGUUAAGUAUUCCACCUGGGGAGUACGCCGGCAACGGUGAAACUCAAAGGAAUUGACGGGGGCCCGCACAAGCGGAGGAACAUGUGGUUUAAUUCGAUGAUACGCGAGGAACCUUACCCGGGCUUGAAUUGCAACUGAAUGAUGUGGAGACAUGUCAGCCGCAAGGCAGUUGUGAAGGUGCUGCAUGGUUGUCGUCAGCUCGUGCCGUGAGGUGUCGGCUUAAGUGCCAUAACGAGCGCAACCCUUAUCGAUAGUUACCAUCAGGUUAUGCUGGGGACUCUGUCGAGACUGCCGUCGUAAGAUGUGAGGAAGGUGGGGAUGACGUCAAAUCAGCACGGCCCUUACGUCCGGGGCUACACACGUGUUACAAUGGGGGGUACAGAAGGCAGCUACACGGUGACGUGAUGCUAAUCCCUAAAGCCUCUCUCAGUUCGGAUUGGAGUCUGCAACCCGACUCCAUGAAGCUGGAUUCGCUAGUAAUCGCGCAUCAGCCACGGCGCGGUGAAUACGUUCCCG
Molecule: ribosomal RNA, 1023 nt
Filed under: uncultured bacterium
Lineage: Bacteria
Description: bacterial SSU rRNA
Rfam family: Bacterial small subunit ribosomal RNA
Source: RNAcentral